This is a long non-coding RNA of Anguilla rostrata (American eel), 2352 nucleotides long. RefSeq lists it as uncharacterized. The transcript is spliced from 3 exons. Lineage: Eukaryota; Metazoa; Chordata; Actinopteri; Anguilliformes; Anguillidae. The record is from RefSeq and is a predicted model, not a curated record.
UUAAAUUCCCAGGCUGCAGUGUCUGCGAGUUUUCGUAGUUUCCUUUCAAUCAGCUGCCAAUUCCUUUGAAUGAUUUAAAUGAACUACUGGUGCUGAGAACACCCAGAAAACCUGCAGAAACUGUGGCCCUUCAGGACUGGAGUUUGACUCCAAAUAUUGGCCAUAAUUCUGGGCACAAGACAUUGUGUUAUGCAGUUUAUGACAUGAAAACAUAAGAAUGUUUGAGGCCAUUGAGCCUGUCUAGGCAUGUCAUUUUACCUGCUGUCUAUGAAUGAAGUCCUGAAGACCUUCAUGUAGCAGAGGAAGUAUCUAUCACAUCUAGUAUAAGGUAAGCAUCAUAGCUAUCACAGAAAUGUUGUGGAAAUGUAUCUUCAGUUGUGGGCUAAGCUGUACUGAAAAAGGGGCGUGAGAUUAUUUGUUGAAUCAGAGAUGAGAGAACACAACUGGAGGAAUCCAAUGCAUUCAUAAACUCGGAUGAGAUGCAGUCCCUCUCAUAUUUCAAUGUUUCAUCCUGACCUUUGCAAAUUUUACUAUUUGCAUUUUACACAAUUUCAUGCUUGCACAGUGAAAAGAGUUAGAAACCUCUUUCCUUAUGAUCAAAGUUAAUCAUUUCUAGGUCCUGCUGCUUUUGAUUAGUGACAUUGUGCUCCUGGUCAGUUUGAAAAAAAUGAUAUGGAAAUAAAUAUUUCCAUGUUUGUGCCUUUUUGAAUUUAUAAUUGUGAAAGCGAUGUUCUCCACUGCUAUUCUUCAGUCUGGAUAAGAGGGUCUACCAGGUGGUUUUAAUAAAAUGUAAUGUACAAAUAUGACUCUGGAAUGCAAGUGGAAUAGAGUGGAGGCAAAGCUUGAUAAAGCCCUAAAAGAUUUAGCAUUGGAAUGAAUUUUGCUGUUCUUAGCAGGCAAAUGUUGCCUUUGCAUAUGAAAAGUAAAUGGUGCAUGUGUGGGUGAGGUAACAGGUACCAGGAGCUGAUUGUUUGCAAAAGGACUUAAGGCUCUUUCGUUAUGAAAAUAAAUUACCAUUUAAUCUCUAACCGCUCCAUAUAUUCUCCCAUUUUAACUCUCUCAUAGGGAACUGAAUGCUGGCCAGUGUACUGUGUAAAUUAUCUUCAUGAUUUCCAAAUUAUGAAAAUGGCGAACGGCUUUACUCGUGCCAGUCAGUCAGUGAUACAUUUUAAAGAACAGAACAAGAGAGGAUGUGCUGCCUUCACUUUUUUCGUAGAAAAGGAGGAAGUGAUAUCCACUUAUUUCCUGUGGCCAGUCAAGAAUAGAGUCCUUGUCUUGCAAAAAAAACAAAACAUGAACACACACUGGUGACAUGUCAAAGCAACUGUCUGUUUGGCAACCUGGCUCAAAAUUUUGAUCUGCAUCUUCCAUCAGUGCUGCUGCUGCAGCUGGACCCACACAGAACACGGCAGCUAGAGAGCAGCCCAGACGUCCCUCUCCCCAGCGGCGUACGCUAACUCAUCCUGGUGGAUCCCCAGGCGAUCCCGGGCCAGCCUUUGGAUAUAAUCCCUCCAGCGUGUCCUAGGUCUGCCCCUGGGUCUCCUCCUCGGUGGCCGAGCCCAGAACACCUCCAGAGGAAGGCGCCCAGGAGGCAUCCUCACCAGAUGCCCAAACCACCUCAACUGACUCCUUUCAGUGCAGAGGAGCAGCGGCUCUACUCUGAGGUCCUCCUGGAUAGCUGAGCUUCUCACCAUAUCAAGGAGAGUAAGCCCUGUCAACCUACGGAAAAACCCCAUUUCAGCCGCUUGUAUUCGCGAUCGCACUCUUUUGGUCAUUACCCAUAGCUUGUGACCAUAGGUGAGAGUAGGGACGAAGAUCGACUGGUUAAUCAGGAGCUUUGCCUUUCGGCCCAGUUCCUUCUUCACCGCCACCGUCCGAUACAAUGCCUGCAUUACUGCGACCGCUGCACCUACAUAUUUAUAUAUAUUAAAUGUAUGUAUGUAUUUUUCUGAUUGUUGGGCAUAACUGGUUUGUCAUCAUAAAUGUCUUGAAACAAACUGUAUCCAUGAUAUUUAUAUAUAUUAAAUGUAUUCAUGCCAUUCUUCAUCUGUUAAGACAAUAAAAAGACACAUUUAGAAUUUUUGGAUUUACUCUUCUGUUGGAAAUAAGACAUAAGUCUUAUGUAUUUUUCUGAUUGUAAGGCAUAACUGGUUUUCAUCAUAAAAGUCUUGAAACAAACUGUAUCCAUGAGAUUUAUUUAUAUUGAACAUAUGCAUGUCAUUAUUCAUCUGUUACAACAAUAAAAAGACAAAUUUGGAAAAUGUGGAUAUUCUGACCUGUUGAACAUAAGACUAUCGUCUUAUGUAUUUUGCCAUUUUCCCUGACAAAACCUUAUUGAUCAUAAAAUUCUUU